RNAcentral lists this ribosomal RNA (253 nucleotides) under uncultured bacterium. RNAcentral describes it as "partial 16S ribosomal RNA". It matches the Rfam family "Bacterial small subunit ribosomal RNA", at positions 524 to 776 of the family's 1533-position model. The record is from RNAcentral.
CACGUAGGGCGCAAGCGUUGUCCGGAAUUAUUGGGCGUAAAGAGCUCGUAGGCGGUCUGUUGCGUCUGCUGUGAAAACCCGGGGCUUAACCCCUGGCUUGCAGUAGAUACGGACAGACUAGAGGUAGGUAGGGGAGAAUGGAAUUCCCGGUGUAGCGGUGAAAUGCGCAGAUAUCGGGAGGAACACCGGUGGCGAAGGCGGUUCUCUGGGCCUUACCUGACGCUGAGGAGCGAAAGCGUGGGGAGCGAACAGG